RNAcentral lists this long non-coding RNA (264 nucleotides) under Brassica rapa (field mustard). RNAcentral describes it as "long non-coding RNA (BRAP_LNC006188)". Lineage: Eukaryota; Viridiplantae; Streptophyta; Magnoliopsida; Brassicales; Brassicaceae. The record is from RNAcentral.
UUUUUGUUGAAUUAAUACAAUACUAGCAUGUGGCAUAAUACGAUCCUUUUGGCUAGACCCAGUCCUUGAUCGAAGUAAAACGAGUAGCUAGUAUCAAUACAACGUAAUUAGUGUAAUAUACGUUAUACUAUCUUAUAUGGAAUUUCAUAAAAUGCUUAUAUAGAACAGUUAAUAUGACAACCAUUCACCAAGACCAAUCGAGCUGGGUCCAGACCGCGCCUACAAAAGAACCGAUCGUUUAAGCCAUCACGAUGUUAAAUAUUG